Pipra filicauda (Wire-tailed manakin) is the source of this 443-nucleotide long non-coding RNA. RefSeq lists it as uncharacterized. NCBI's taxonomy places the organism in Eukaryota, Metazoa, Chordata, Aves, Passeriformes, Pipridae. The transcript is spliced from 3 exons. The record is from RefSeq and is a predicted model, not a curated record.
AACCCACACCACUGAGCCUGCUCUCCCACGAUGGAGGCUUUUCCAGCUAAGUUAAUGCAAACUAGUAAGAGAAGGUUUACAAAUGAAAGUCAGCUAAACAAAUAUACAGAAAAAAGGGGAUUAAAAAAUUUGCCUAAAGCAGCUUUGUAAAGAAGAGCUGAAAUGAUGUCAUCCUUCAAAGAAGUUCCAAUAACCAAGGUCAAGCAAGGGUACUAAUUUCAAGCAGAAGUAAUGUGAUACUCCAGGCAGGCAGGGAGCUAUGGGGAGAUGCAGUUGGAAGGGACAGAGGGAGAAGAGCUCUUUUUCUGGGUGAUGAGGAGCCAGAGACAGCGAAAAGAGGUGGGAGCCAAGAGUUCAGAACAAGCAAAUGAAACAAAAAGUCAACAUGAAAAACUCAACGUGAUCUUCUCACUUGCUUCACAUUGUGCAGCAAUAAAAGAUGG